Ahaetulla prasina is the source of this 708-nucleotide long non-coding RNA. RefSeq lists it as uncharacterized. NCBI's taxonomy places the organism in Eukaryota, Metazoa, Chordata, Lepidosauria, Squamata, Colubridae. The transcript has 3 exons. The record is from RefSeq and is a predicted model, not a curated record.
UACCAUUAUGUCUUUUUACAGGUAAUUCUCGACUUAAAACUGCAGUGAGCCCAAGACUUCUGCUGUUAAUCUUUUUUAGGACACAGGAAAUAUUUCCCAUAGGAAAUAGGAGCUGAUCUGAAAAUUAUUAAACUGCAAUGCAAAUUUCACAGCACAAAAGGUUGUCUGACUGUCAGAUUUCGAAAAAGCAGACACAUCUAAACCUUCACCUUUGUUGCACUGCUCAUAUAAAGUCUGAAAUUUAAAAAGACAAGACAAAUUAAAUAAUCUUUCCUCUUUACUUUCAAAUGCCCUUACUUUCUUCCCCCCACCCUUAUGGAACAGUGAGCUUAAUCCUUUUUUGUCGUCAUCUCUAACUAAAACAAAUCCUUAAUAAAUAUUUACUCUUCUUCCCACCCCAAGUUUUUAUUUUUGCUUCUGUUUUUAUUCCAUUCUCUCAGCCACUUAGGAGAUGAUUUUUUGCUAUUUUUUUCUAAAACUUCUUUAGUAGUGGUAUGUAAGUGCCAGUUCAUUAUAUACACAAGCACAGUGAAAGCAUAAAAAGGGAGUUCCAAUGUUACACACAUCCUGCAAAUAACAGAAUUUGUAACAGAAUUUGAUGCAGCCCUUAUUUUUCUCCUCUUAUUUUCUACUUAGCAUACCGGUACUUUUUUAUUCUUCUGGAGGAGAAAAAGAAAUAACUAUCAAAGAAACCUGGUUGAUGUUACA